RNAcentral lists this ribosomal RNA (427 nucleotides) under uncultured beta proteobacterium. RNAcentral describes it as "bacterial SSU rRNA". It matches the Rfam family "Bacterial small subunit ribosomal RNA", at positions 355 to 774 of the family's 1533-position model. The record is from RNAcentral. Lineage: Bacteria; Pseudomonadati; Pseudomonadota; Betaproteobacteria.
UGGGGAAUUUUGGACAAUGGGCGAAAGCCUGAUCCAGCCAUGCCGCGUGAGUGAAGAAGGCCUUCGGGUUGUAAAGCUCUUUUAGUCGGAAAGAAAGAGUUGCAAUGAGUAAUUGUGAUUUAUGACGGUACCGACAGAAAAAGCACCGGCUAACUACGUGCCAGCAGCCGCGGUAAUACGUAGGGUGCGAGCGUUAAUCGGAAUUACUGGGCGUAAAGGGUGCGCAGGCGGUCUUGCAAGUCAGAUGUGAAAGCCCCGGGCUUAACCUGGGAAUUGCGUUUGAAACUACAAGGCUAGAGUGCAGCAGAGGGGAGUGGAAUUCCAUGUGUAGCAGUGAAAUGCGUAGAGAUGUGGAAGAACACCGAUGGCGAAGGCAGCUCCCUGGGUUGACACUGACGCUCAUGCACGAAAGCGUGGGGAGCAAACA